UACGGGGGGAGCAAGCGUUGUUCGGAUUUACUGGGCGUAAAGGGCGCGUAGGCGGUCGUGACAAGUCACUUGUGAAAUCUCCGGGCUUAACUCGGAACGGUCAAGUGAUACUGUCGGACUAGAGUACAGAAGGGGCAACUGGAAUUCUCGGUGUAGCGGUGAAAUGCGUAGAUAUUGGGAAGAACACCUGAGGCGAAGGCGGGUUGCUGGGCUGACACUGACGCUGAGACGCGAAAGCCAGGGGAGCGAACGGG
This 254-nucleotide ribosomal RNA is filed under the name uncultured bacterium. Its description in RNAcentral is "partial 16S ribosomal RNA". It matches the Rfam family "Bacterial small subunit ribosomal RNA", at positions 524 to 776 of the family's 1533-position model. The record is from RNAcentral.